GGGAUGGAGCGGGCCGUUUCUCCCGUUUCUACCACCACCUCCGCUGCCUCAGAGCCGGCUCCCGCCGCCGCCGCCGCCACCGCCGCCGCCCUCUCCCUCCUCUCCUCUUCCACUCCCCCCGCCGCCUCCCCUUUGUCCUCCCCCUCCGCCGCCUCCUUCUUGGGCGCUUCUGCCGCCUCUACACGACUCAGGCCCUCCGUCCCUGAGAAGUUGUGUUCGGUCUCCUCUGUGGGCCCCGGGCGCAGCCAUGGCAGACGGCGGCGGCGGCGGCGGCACGGGCUCGGUGGGCGGCGGCGGAGCGGGCCAGGCCUCGGCGGGGGCAGCGACAGGGGCGGCGGGGGCAGGUGGGAGCGGCGGCCCCAUCAACCCCGCCUCACUGCCUCCCGGGGACCCGCAGCUCAUCGCACUCAUCGUGGAGCAGCUCAAGAGCCGGGGCUUGUUUGACAGCUUCCGCCGGGACUGCCUGGCCGACGUGGACACCAAGCCAGCUUACCAAAACCUGAGGCAGAAAGUGGAUAAUUUUGUGUCAACACAUCUGGACAAGCAGGAAUGGAAUCCUACAAUGAACAAAAACCAGUUGCGAAAUGGUCUGCGGCAGAGUGUGGUUCAGUCAGGGAUGUUGGAAGCUGGAGUGGACAGAAUCAUUUCUCAAGUGGUGGAUCCCAAACUAAACCACAUCUUCAGACCACAGAUAGAAAGAGCAAUUCAUGAGUUCCUGGCGGCCAAGAAAAAAGAAGCUGUGCCAGCGCCCCCUCCAGAGCCUGAGAGCCAGGACCCCCCAGCUCCAUCCCAGGAUGCUUCCUAAGGUCCGGUAUCCUGUCUUUUGUCCAGGAGCCUUCAUCUCUGGCUUAUAAAUAUAUAAAAUGGAUAGAAAAGGGAGUAUGUCUGACAUUUUUUGGAAGCUCCAUUAAAUUAACUGUGAAGAAAUGGAUUCGG
Acinonyx jubatus (cheetah) is the source of this 936-nucleotide RNA transcript. It is a transcript of the gene named biorientation of chromosomes in cell division 1, with no coding region annotated. The transcript is spliced from 4 exons. NCBI's taxonomy places the organism in Eukaryota, Metazoa, Chordata, Mammalia, Carnivora, Felidae. The record is from RefSeq and is a predicted model, not a curated record.